RNAcentral lists this long non-coding RNA (267 nucleotides) under Lathyrus oleraceus (garden pea). RNAcentral describes it as "Pisum sativum (pea) long non-coding RNA (PSAT_LNC003330)". Lineage: Eukaryota; Viridiplantae; Streptophyta; Magnoliopsida; Fabales; Fabaceae. The record is from RNAcentral.
UUCCUUCAUAUUUAUAAAACCCACCCUUGCACUCUCCGUGCCUAAUCUCUAAUGUUACCUUCGUAACCAAAUAUCCUUCCUUCAAGACAAGCUGCAUAUGUAUUAAGUUUCACCCAAUUAUCCUCAAGUGGCUUCCAACCAACCAUGAUAAUUGUUUUCUCGUUACUAUUAAUUACCGCUUUAAGUUUCAUAACAUCAUCAUACUUAUCUAUCCUGCAUUGGACAGGUGUUUUCGGAAAAGGAGGUCUAUUAUGACUACCAUCAUGC